UGCUCCCUACGGGGCGCAGCAGUGAGGAAUAUUGGUCAAUGGACGCAAGUCUGAACCAGCCAUGCCGCGUGCAGGAUGACGGCUCUAUGAGUUGUAAACUGCUUUUGUACAAGGGUAAACCUGAAUACGUGUAUUCAGCUGAAAGUACUGUACGAAUAAGGAUCGGCUAACUCCGUGCCAGCAGCCGCGGUAAUACGGAGGAUCCAAGCGUUAUCCGGAUUUAUUGGGUUUAAAGGGUGCGUAGGCGGAUUGAUAAGUUAGAGGUGAAAUGUCCGAGGUCAACUCGGGAACUG
This 293-nucleotide ribosomal RNA is filed under the name uncultured bacterium. Its description in RNAcentral is "partial 16S ribosomal RNA". It matches the Rfam family "Bacterial small subunit ribosomal RNA", at positions 333 to 623 of the family's 1533-position model. The record is from RNAcentral.